Molecule: ribosomal RNA, 485 nt
Filed under: uncultured bacterium
Lineage: Bacteria
Description: bacterial SSU rRNA
Rfam family: Bacterial small subunit ribosomal RNA
Source: RNAcentral
AACCGAGAACUCCUACGGGAGGCAGCAGUAGGGAAUUUUCCACAAUGGACGAAAGUCUGAUGGAGCAACGCCGCGUGAACGAUGAAGGUCUUCGGAUUGUAAAGUUCUGUUGUCAGGGACGAACACGUACCGUUCGAAUAGGGCGGUACCUUGACGGUACCUGACGAGAAAGCCACGGCUAACUACGUGCCAGCAGCCGCGGUAAUACGUAGGUGGCAAGCGUUGUCCGGAUUUAUUGGGCGUAAAGCGCGCGCAGGCGGCUAUGUAAGUCUGGUGUUAAAGCCCGGGGCUCAACCCCGGUUCGCAUCGGAAACUGUGUAGCUUGAGUGCAGAAGAGGAAAGCGGUAUUCCACGUGUAGCGGUGAAAGGCCUAGAGAUGUGGAGGAACACCAGUGGCGAAGGCGGCUUUCUGGUCUGUAACUGACGCUGAGGCGCGAAAGCGUGGGGAGCAAACAGGAUUAGAAACCCGAGUAGUCCGACUGAGA